ACGAACAUGAAAAAGUGGGGACAUAUGAAGCUACGCACUAUUCUCCAGGAGUGCACUUUUGAUAAAGAGUUUCGGAAAUCUCCUCUUGCUUAUCAGAUUCUGUUUGGUUGUGGAUUUGCUGUUUGAGCUGUGGUUAGAAAUUUGUGAUAUUCGAUUUGGUUUUCAUAUUAAUUGAGGUGGAGGUCAAUGUGUGGUGUUUGUUUUUGAAAG
Molecule: non-coding RNA, 210 nt
Organism: Prunus avium (sweet cherry)
Lineage: Eukaryota; Viridiplantae; Streptophyta; Magnoliopsida; Rosales; Rosaceae
Source: RefSeq, a predicted model, not a curated record